This 2422-nucleotide unclassified non-coding RNA is filed under the name Leishmania donovani. Its description in RNAcentral is "gene:LdHU3.35.0580(CDS-product:Sperm-tail_PG-rich _repeat_putative)". The record is from RNAcentral. Lineage: Eukaryota; Euglenozoa; Kinetoplastea; Trypanosomatida; Trypanosomatidae.
ACGAGCGGGCACACCGACACACCCGCUUGUGAGUGCGUUUCGAGCCGCUUUUCUCAUCUUUUAGUUGUGGCUCUGCUUUUUUUUUCUCGUUCGGACUCUUGCAAGAUGCUUGGCGGCUUUACCAACUACGCCCACCUCCGGCUGCGGGAUCACCGACCGGGCAACGGUGAUUACGAGCUCCCCCCAGGAUUCGGCCCCAACUCGAGCUCCUCAAAGCGCUCCAUCUUGGCGCGCCACUACUUACCGACGGGUGGUGAGUUAUGCAGCGUCGGGCCUGGAGCCUAUGCGCUCCCCACAACCGUCGGCACAGGCCGCUCAACUCGCUUUGCCCCGAUGUCGAGUGACCGCAGCGGGCCUGCGGCGAAGGCGUCGGCUGGCCAGUGCUCCAGCGAUCGGCCUCUUGCCGUCGCCGCCGAUCCAAAGCAGUACAGCAUGGCCCUCUGCCCCGACACACCCUCCUAUAGUCUCUGCGGCCGUCUCAAGUCCGAGUGGGAUAAGCAGAGCGCAGCUGCUUCUCCUGGCCCUGCCGCCUACGAUGUGCCCGGAUACUUCGACACGCUGGACCCCCAGCAGCAACAACGGCAUCUCUGGUCGGGUCCCGUACCCGGCGUCCACUUGGGCAUUCGCACAGUACUGCCAGAGUCACGCGAGAAGGCGGGCAUGCCGGGCCCCGGCGCAUACCACCUCGUGCGGUUUGGCGACGAGCUGCCCAGAACCCGCGAACCCCUUAUCACUCGAAGCAGUCGUCGCGGCCGCGGUGCCGCCGCCGACACGCCUGGCCCUGGCGCGUACGACGAUCCAACGUCCAUCGCCUACCGCGCCGACCAAGUGCGGAGGAAGCGCCUCUUUACACAAUGCUCCACGUUUGGUGGCCGCUGGUGUAGGCGGGAGUUUCACACAGCCGGGCCCGGCCCCGCUGCGUACAAUACUGUCGCCGCAACAAAGCUGCUGGAGAAGAACCAACGACACGCCCCCAGGCUCGUGCGGCGCCAGCCACCGCUGGAUCGACAAUCCGUCGCGGAGGCUGCUGCUGCGCGCAUGAAGGUGCCCGGUGCCCCCACCCCGCAGGCUUUCCCUAGCCUCCCCUCAGAUUUCGACUUCGACUUCAGGAAAGGCAAGACGAUCGGCGGUAGGCUUCACGAGCCGCUGGCACGGACGGCGCCUUCUCACUUGACACAGGCAGCGGACGACAAGCCGAGUGGCAGCCGUGCCUUCUGGGAGUCCCCGCCGCCGCCGGGCGGCCGCUUUGCAGCAACGCCGUUUGACCCGCAGUCGCACAGUCUUGCCGCCGAGAAGGCGGGCACCAAUGCGGCACGUCUUUCGGAAGCGGCGAACUGCAAGCCGGGGCCAGGGUCGUACAAUGUGGACGUGGACCCGACGGCUCGCCGCGUUCCGGCCUCGCUGUUUGGCCGAACGCUGAGCGCCAAGUCUGUCUCUGCUGAAAAUGGUGUGCCGGGCCCGGGUCAUUACCGCAUCGUGGACGAAACGGGUAGUGGAGGCACCAUCUUCUACAAGGGCGACUUCCACCCGCGCGGUUGUAGCGGCCAGGGCGGGUCCGCGGCGGAGAGCCUUGGCGUCGGCCCAGGCGCGCACUACAACGACGACACCAUGUACAGUAACAGCAUCAAUGGCGACCGCGCCCACAACAAAGGCUUUACGAUGGGCAUCCGCUACCCGGCCAGGGCCACCUAUCAGCACUGCGCCCCGUACGACGAGACGACGAACAUCAACUGCGUCUACGACGACGAGCUGAACUGGGUGGUACGGCCCAACCAACACCUGCCACUGAUUCGCCGCGGCAAGCUUUAGCAAAGAACUGCCAUUGGCACCAUCACGCUUGUGUGCGUGUGCUGGACGAUGCGUACACGUACCUUGAACAUGUAUUAUAAGGCCAUGAUGACGAUCACCAUGUGGGUCUACUGAGGGGGAGGGGGAGUGGACGCUCGCAUUGUGCUCCCCUCUUACUGUGACCUCGUUUGUUGUUGUUUUCUGUGCUCUCCAGUGGAACGUUCGUCUCACGAGUCGUUGGACCGACGGAAAAUCAUGCUUGUCUUUGAUCAGGUGGCGGUGGUGGGGAGGGGGCAAGGGCGCGCCUCUUUUACACCUUUUUGGCUCUUGCGCGCGCACACACACACGCACACGCGUGGCGACAAACACGGGAGGGGGAAAGAGGCAGGGAGACGGAGGGAAAGCUGUUUUUCCUUUUCAUCUGUGUGUGUGUGUGCAGAGGACUGCUUCUACGGUUGCACCUCUCAAAAGCUGGUCGGCCUCGUACAUCUACAUGAAGUAAGAGGCUUUUUGCAUAGGCAAAGCAUUCGUUCCGCCCCCCCCCCCCGUGAACCGUCCCCAUCUUGCCAUGCUCGUAUCUUACCCUUCUUCCUACGCUUCUCAUUUCUGUCCCUUGCACCCCCCCCCCCCACAG